AGUGAACGCUGGCGGUAGGCCUAACACAUGCAAGUCGAACGGCAGCACAGUAAGAGCUUGCUCUUACGGGUGGCGAGUGGCGGACGGGUGAGGAAUACAUCGGAAUCUACUUUUUCGUGGGGGAUAACGUAGGGAAACUUACGCUAAUACCGCAUACGACCUACGGGUGAAAGCAGGGGAUCUUCGGACCUUGCGCGAGUGAAUGAGCCGAUGUCGGAUUAGCUAGUUGGCGGGGUAAAGGCCCACCAAGGCGACGAUCCGUAGCUGGUCUGAGAGGAUGAUCAGCCACACUGGAACUGAGACACGGUCCAGACUCCUACGGGAGGCAGCAGUGAGGAAUAUUGGACAAUGGGCGCAAGCCUGAUCCAGCCAUACCGCGUGGGUGAAGAAGGCCUUCGGGUUGUAAAGCCCUUUUGUUGGGAAAGAAAAGCAGCAGGUUAAUACCCCGCUGUUCUGACGGUACCCAAAGAAUAAGCACCGGCUAACUUCGUG
Molecule: ribosomal RNA, 492 nt
Filed under: uncultured bacterium
Lineage: Bacteria
Description: partial 16S ribosomal RNA
Rfam family: Bacterial small subunit ribosomal RNA
Source: RNAcentral